GACCGCUCCGGUGGCCUAGUGGUUAGAACGUCCGCCUUGGAUGUGGGAGGUCACAGGUUCGAAAACAGGCUGAGUCA
Molecule: non-coding RNA, 77 nt
Organism: Potamilus streckersoni
Lineage: Eukaryota; Metazoa; Mollusca; Bivalvia; Unionida; Unionidae
Source: the annotation of a GenBank genome assembly